AUUGAACGCUGGCGGCAUGCUUUACACAUGCAAGUCGAACGGUAACAGGCCUUCGGGUGCUGACGAGUGGCGAACGGGUGAGUAAUGCAUCGGAACGUGCCCAGAGGUGGGGGAUAACGCAGCGAAAGCUGUGCUAAUACCGCAUGUGAUCUGAGGAUGAAAGCGGGGGACCAGGCAGCAAUGUUUGGCCUCGCGCCUUUGGAGCGGCCGAUGUCAGAUUAGGUAGUUGGUGGGGUAAAGGCCUACCAAGCCGACGAUCUGUAGCUGGUCUGAGAGGAAGACCAGCCACACUGGGACUGAGACACGGCCCAGACUCCUACGGGAGGCAGCAGUGGGGAAUUUUGGGCAAUGGGCGCAAGCCUGAUCCAGCAAUGCCGCGUGCGGGAAGAAGGCCUUCGGGUUGUAAACCGCUUUUGUACGGAACGAAAAGGCUCUGGCUAAUACCUGGGGCUGAUGACGGUACCGUAAGAAUAAGCACCGGCUAACUACGUG
Molecule: ribosomal RNA, 492 nt
Filed under: uncultured bacterium
Lineage: Bacteria
Description: partial 16S ribosomal RNA
Rfam family: Bacterial small subunit ribosomal RNA
Source: RNAcentral